This 504-nucleotide ribosomal RNA is filed under the name uncultured bacterium. Its description in RNAcentral is "partial 16S ribosomal RNA". It matches the Rfam family "Bacterial small subunit ribosomal RNA", at positions 28 to 523 of the family's 1533-position model. The record is from RNAcentral.
GACGAACGCUGGCGGCAGGCCUAACACAUGCAAGUCGAGCGGUAACACAGGGAGCUUGCUCCCGGGUGACGAGCGGCGGACGGGUGAGUAAUGUCUGGGAAACUGCCUGAUGGAGGGGGAUAACUACUGGAAACGGUAGCUAAUACCGCAUAAUGUCGCAAGACCAAAGAGGGGGACCUUCGGGCCUCUUGCCAUCAGAUGUGCCCAGAUGGGAUUAGCUAGUAGGUGGGGUAACGGCUCACCUAGGCGACGAUCCCUAGCUGGUCUGAGAGGAUGACCAGCCACACUGGAACUGAGACACGGUCCAGACUCCUACGGGAGGCAGCAGUGGGGAAUAUUGCACAAUGGGCGCAAGCCUGAUGCAGCCAUGCCGCGUGUAUGAAGAAGGCCUUCGGGUUGUAAAGUACUUUCAGCGGGGAGGAAGGUGUUGAGGUUAAUAACCUCAGCAAUUGACGUUACCCGCAGAAGAAGCACCGGCUAACUCCGUGCCAGCCGCCGCCGUAA